UGACAAAAGAGCUGUGUCAAUUUAAUGGAAAAUUUACUUCUCAUCGUUUUACGCGUAAAGCCUUUGUAUCAUUAAAUGGCAGCCUAUGGGACAAAUUUGGAAAGCAAGGCACUUAUAUUUAGGAGAAAUUCAUAUGUCACUGGUUAUAUUAUCAUGGACUCAUUGCUUUCUUUCGGACUUAGACGAAGUAUCUUGGUUUAUCUGACGUGGUUGUAGGUGUUCUUGUGUCUACCUAUAUCCUUAUGGAGACUGGUGAGAUGACAAUUCUGAAAAGAUUGAGAAAGUAAAGAAAGCUUUUAUUCUCUUAUAUUCUUUUUUUUUUUUUUUAGAAUAUUUCAAACUGCUGUCACUGUUGGCAAAGUAAAGAUUCCUCUUCUCUUAUCAACAGAUAAUUAAUACAGUCUGGUCUAUUUCAUGUUUGGAAAAAUGUAGGUCUUGGACUUAAAGUUCCUGGUUUGACAAGGGCUAUGGGAGAAAAAAAAAGAAGCAAAAUGGGAAAUCAGUAAGACAGUGAGACAGAAUCAUGAAAGGGGCUACUCAAAAUCUUAGCCUAUUUAACCCUUUUGCAGAUAGCUUCCAAAUACUUCCAAUACAGUAAGCUCAGUUAUAGCUACUGGGUUUGUCCUUGCAAACCAGCCCUGAGCUACGUUUAACUUGAGAGUUAAUUUGCCGUCUCGAUAAUGACAGGCAAAUUGUCAACAUUUUGUAUGUCUUAUAUGCAUCUUUGGUUGGAACGCUUUGACUGCUCCGAAUAGUGCAAUGGACCAAAAAUUGUGAUUAAUUAAGUAACUCAAGGACUUGGAUCUUCAGUUGCCUGUUUACUGGAGAUUAAAAAAAAUAUAAUCCCGAGAACAGUAUGAUUUAAACCCCUUAUAAGUCCCUUUCGCUCCUGAGAAACGGUAUGGUUGAUCCCAUGUUCAUACAAACUCCUCUGUCUCUUACCUCUGUUAAAAAUUUCAAGCACUGCGUCUAAACUUCGUGGGUUUCCUCUGACCCAUGACAAGUAUGAGGAUCUUUAAUCCUGCUAUUGCAUGAAAAGGAAUUUUGACCCUCGUUCAGUCACUCUCUGGAGAAUUGAUGACAAAAGCGUAGUAUGACUCUCUUUAGUUCAGAAUUGGAGUCUGUGGAAGGGAACUUUUGGUGGGUGAUCUCUUAAGAACUCGACAUGAACUCCUACUCAGCGCUGCUUCUCCCAGCCAUCGGCCAGAACCACGGGGAGAGUGAGGUUGGCAUAGAUGCUUUCAGAACAAAUUACAUCACGUUUCUGAGUUGCCUGACUUCAUUUCAUGUUAAAUUAUAUUUUAAGGCUUGUUGAACUUCUGAGCUCACUUUCCACAUGUGUUUGAGAAGACGCUGACAAACGUCCUCCUCUAUGUAAAUUUGGUGUAACUGGCUCCACUUUCAGAAUGUCUUAUUUCUGUUGAUUGUCUUGGCCUCUGUCAACCUUGAAGCAAGUUCAGUACGACCUUACAUUCCAACUACUGUCCUUCUUUUCCCUCUCACUCUAUAAGUCAUUGGAAGGUGCAGAGAGACAUCAUACAGCUUUCAAAUUUCAUUCCAAAAAAUCGUGCUUAGACAUCUCUUCUCAAAUACUCUCCUCUAUCUCUCAAAACGUUCCUCACCGAAGCCAAUUUGUGUGUGAGAGGAGCUGUCGUAGUAAAAAUAAUAAACUUUAUUUUUCCAAGUGAAAAUAAAUGUUAUUGAUCAUAUUAUGCUCAUUUAUUGUUUUAUUUGGCUUGAAUGGACAAUUCCUCCUGUUCUCCAGCUACUGUCAGGAGGAGUGCCUUACCAUGGAUGAAUCAAUCUGGAAUUAACAUCAUUGUAUUUGAUAACGUUCCCUAAAAUAAGUCAUUUCAUUUGGUUACUUGUGGACACGUUGUGCAAAUAAUUAAUCCUAGCAGCUGCUCCAAUAUGCUUGUUCAAACAGUGUUUUAUGUAAUUUCAUUAAUGAGAAUUUUCUAUGGUCAUUUUAAGCAACUGUUAAACCUUUUGAAAACGUUCCGAGUGAAACCAUUUCAGCCAAAGCUUCUUAAACCAUCUGUGAUAAAGAACUGUUUUGUUGUUGUUCUUAUUGUUUAUUUGUUUAAUUUUCAUGCAGUCACAUUCCCAUACUUUUGUAGAAUGCACUGACCGUGUGCUUGGAUGGCAUGACAAUAUCAGAUUGUGAUAUAAGUCUCUUAGUGUUUAUUACCAGUUUCUGGACUUAUAUCACUGUGGACUGAGAGCAAUAGCAGACGGCCAUGCAGCCACGGGGCAAUUUGAAUGGCACUGAUAGAGGCUAUUGUCUGUGGUGCAGAACUUUGGGGUUUGAUCAAUAGGUUGUUCUUUUAUUAUAGCAAAAUUGUAAUAUGUAUUCAGGAAAGACUCAUUUUUCCCUAAAGGAAAACUUUUAGCCCUGCUUUCUAGAAGUAGGAUAUUCAUCUAUUGAGGAUGGAAUUAUGGAUUUGUAAAAAAUUGUCAACACUGCCGUUUACUAAUUAGGCUGCCAUUUGAUAUACAACAGAAUACUGGGCUUAUAAUCCAGUGCCUUGCCAGAGACUAUAACCUUGGAAUCCAACUCCUCUUAAAAGUUUAUAUGGAAGAAAGGAUUAUAUCCUCUAGAUCUCUUUUAGAUAUUCUAGGCUGUGGUUUAAGUUUUAUUUGCGUAUUUGGUUUUAACUUGGAUUGAGUCGAAGCAGUGACCAUCUGAGUUUGUGAAUCACGGCGCCUUGACUUCUGGUAGAAUCAUUUAACUGAGGUAAGUAUAAAUCAUGCCCUUGGCUUUUAUUUAGAGAUGACAUAAAAAAAUACCAAACUCAAAUAUCCCAUUCUCCUCAGGUAUUUUGGGGGACAUUUUCCAUUUAGUACUUCAUAUUUGAAAAUUCAUGUGAAUAAUCAAGUUUAUUUCAUUUUUAUAGAGAAGUCCCUCUUUGCAAGUUAUUUUUUUGAACGCAGUGAACCUCACCUAUGAACAAGAAUGAAUUGUUGAUCUGGUCCAGGCUCAGAUGUUACUGGAGCAAAUCCACAGAAGCUUCACCCUAGGUAGGGGUGGCCAAGAGGAUGAGGCUUCGUCUCUUCUCGGUUUCCAGUCAAAGCUUACUUUAUCCCAUUGAGACAGAAAGUUACCAGCAUUGCUCAUUUCCUCCAACUUCAAGUCGAAGAGGCUAUAUUGCUGAAAUUACUAAAAGAAUGAAGAUAUAUUUUCUACUUUCAAAAUGAGCAGAAGAGAAAGAAAACAAUCUAAGGAAUCUUUGGAGACUACCAAAGACUGAUGUCAAGAAAAGGGUUCGGUAACUUAGGAGGUGGGACAGGGUUGUUUGUACCUCUGCUCUCAGCUCCGCUUCUCAUCUUCUGUGCUCCGCUCUGUAUCACAGAGGGCUGGAUGCCCGAAAGGUACCUUCCUGAGACUUCCUUGCCUGCUGGCUUCUGUUAGACUCUGACACCGUGGCAGGUGAGUAGAAGUUGGGAGGAAGGAAACUAGGCAAAAACUCACACCUUUUUUAGGUGGGGAGGGCAGAGCGUUUAGCAUAGGCUUCAGCUGCAGUUGCAGAGGGUGACAGUGAGCCCCUGGGCUCUUCCUCAGGCAGCCUGCUUCCAGCAGCUUGUACAGGUUUCCGGGGGCAUAGCAAAGCAGCAGUAGCUGCAGGGGCUUUAGCGGCCCUGGCUAACGUGCCCUGACUCCGUCUGUUUCAGUGACAGAUGCAAGGAACUCUGGGCCCCAGGAUUCCCACCCUAGCAACAGGAGAAUGGGCCAUGGUUUCCGCGAGGCAGCUGCCUCACUGCUUCCAGAUAGUAGAGGCCACAGUGGGGCCCAGCAGCUCCACAGGGCAGUGACUGUCUUACUGAGGACACCCUUUCCCUUCUGCUUGGGUAGCCUAAGAUGGCACUGGCUUACUGCAGAUACUAAUCACUUGGGAACCUUUUCGUUUCCCUUUUAAACCUUUUGUCACUUAUUCCCUGUAUUAAAUUUCCUCCAGUUGAAAUACCAGUCGAAGUUUCUAUUUUCCUGACUGGACAGUGAUACUGAAUACACGAUGACACUACAGUACUGCAGAAAUCAAGCCAGUUUUUUCCUUUGUCUUUUCUUCCACUCUUACAGUUUAAUUUACCAUUAGGUAUUUUAAAAUUUACAUGUGUAGAAUAAAUCUUCUCAUUGAUUUAAUAUGUAGUAUGUAAAUAAAUGAAGAUUGCAUGAUAAAAUACAUACAAAUAGAAAUAAGAAUAUUAAGUCAAGGAAAAAUAGUAAAUUCUAGGUUUUGUAUUUUAAUACAAAAACAUUACUAAAAUAUACUAAGUCCUCCUGGAAUUUACUAUGUGGAGUAUAAAUAAUAAUGACUUAAAUCAAGAUAGGCAUCAUAUGGUAAGGAAAUACAUCUUCCGUUCUCCUAGUUCUUUUUUUUAAAAUUUAAUUGAAUUUAUUUUUGUACAGCAGGUUCUUAUUAGUUAUCUAUUUUACACAUAUUAGUGUAUAAGCAUAUAUAUGUCAAUCCCAAUCUCCCAAUUCGUCCCGCCACCACCACUGCCCCCCCGCCCCGACUCCUUUAUUUGGCACAUAUCGAGUAGAAAAUAUGAUUAUACUUCUAGACUAGAAAUCCCUUCUAAGAUUGUUCACUAGAAUCCAAGUUUCAGAUUUUGAUUUGUUUAUGACUUGUCACAGUGAAUCUAUUAACAAGUAUUGUAUUUCCUGAUUGUGUUUGAAUUACGAUAGGGUAUUUCUCCAUUGGGUUUCAAGGAUCGUGAUGUGAUUCAUUGUGUGUAUUUAUGAGUUGCUCAUAUAAUUACAGAGACAAAAAUACAUAUGAAAUGAAGACACAAUUUUAGGCAUAGGAAAAAAGGUUCACUUUUAUGAACAUUAUCAGUGAAACAUGUGACACACCAAGAGAGAAAUACACCAGAUGAAGACCCCAUGUUAUAAGAGGAUGUGCUUACCUUGUUUUGUGCAAUCUGGUGCAUUCCUAUAUCUAGAAAAGUUCUCAACGUCCAGGAAUACUAGAUAAUUGUAUAGGAAAGGUCUUUUAUUGUUUUCUUGUUUAUUGAUGAUUGAUUUUUUAAUAUUUUUGUAGAUCUUUAUUGCAGUAUAAUUGCUUUACAAUUCCGUGUUAGUUUCUGUUGUACAACAGAGUGAAUCAGCCAUAUGCAUACACAUGUCCCCAUAUCCCCUCCCUCUUGAGCCUCCCUCCCACCCUCCCUAUCCCACCCCUCUAGGUCGUUGCAAAGCACCAAGCUGAUCUCCCUGUGCUAUGCAGCUGCUUCCCACUAGCUAUUUUACAUUUCGUACUGUAUAUAUGUCGCUGCUAGUCUCACUUCACCCCAGCUUCCCCCUCCCCACCCCGUGUCCUCAAUGCAUAGGAAAGGUCUUUAAUCCAGGAUUUUCUAAGGAUGACUAAAAGAUUUAUUGAGAAUGAGUGAAACCUCAAUCAGAAUUAGAACUACAAAUUUCACUACACAUUAAAUUAGGCACUAGUCAAUGUGCCUGUACAUUUAUAGAUGGUAUUUUGAUAUAAGCUUUAUUUUUUUUCACUUCCUUGUAUGCAGCUGGUCCCCUACUGGGUCCGUAUAGAUUGCCUUUACAUAGUAUUGAUAUAACAGAGAGGGCAGAGUGUGGACUCAGGAUGCAAGCUGUCUGGCUUCGAUUCCUGGUUUCAUCACCAACUGUGCAGUCUUGGUUAAGUUUCUUAAUCUUCCUGUACUUCAGUAACAUCAUUUAUUAAAUGUUAUGAGUGUAAAAUGGAUAACACAGGCAAGUGCUUAGCAAGAUAUCUGCCACGGUCUCGGUCUCAGGACGUUGCCACAUUAAGACUGUUAUAGCUGGGAUGCAGAGGACAAAGCAGUCGAGGUCAGCUGUUUGCACUUUAAAACAGGCUCGUAAAGUCCAUUUCAGGUGAUUAAAAGUAGGCUUUCAAUCACAAAGGAGACUUGAAAACAGUUUUCUAAAUUAUCAAAUCUUCUCUUUAAACAUCACAUCAGGAACAGAAGUUUGGAGGAUUGAACAUGAAGUUUUUACUACAAACUAUGGAAUAGGAAGCAUGAUUUAGGGGCAAUUUCCUGCUGAACAGUGAUUAGAUAAAAGUCCUUGGCCAGGGGAAAGCACUGAAGCAAGAGAGAGAAAAGUGCGUUGAGGCUUCAGAGGGAAGCCUACUCCCAUAUCGUAGGUGAUUUCAGGGACAGAGAGCAUGUUCUCUGUUCCCAUUUGGGAGGCAGGGCUCUAUAAUGCUCCCCAAAUGGGAUGACCAGAGGAUUUUACGUGAAGGUUUUGCGUAUUCAUGCAGAAAGAGGGCUUGGCUUGCAUCUUUUGUUGCAUCGCAGAGUUCUGAAAGACCUGGUGGUGUGGAGAAAAUCACGAAAUUGCUUCAUGCCUGAAGAGAGAACAUCUGAUUGUAAAGAAGGUUAGUAGAUCACUGGAGGCCUGGGGUUGAGAUAAGGGGCAAAAUGAGUGUGUACACAUCAAGACCAUGGUAGGGGCUCUGGUCAUGAGCAAGGCUCUGUGGAUACGUCAGCUGUGGAUACAGAGAGAACAAAGGUGGUCAUAAAAGUUUAAUAUGGAGGGUGAUAUAGUCCAUUGGAACCUGAGGAGUACCCUUGAAAAAUACACUCCCCCACUCCCUCUGUUGUGAUGACCUGUCAGCAGCUGCUUACUUUCCAAAGCUCUCCCACAGGGGACUGGGUCAAGAGGCAAGCGCCCAAGAGGAGUGCAUAUCAUUAACAUCUCUGUUAAUUAAAUACACCAAAAAGAACGUUUCGACAAGAUGUGACAGAAUUACCUGCAGAAGCCUAGAUUAUAUUUCUUAAAAAAAAUAGACUUCAAUUUGUAGAGCAGUUUUGGGUCCACAGCAAAAUUGAAUGGAAGGUACAGAUAUUUCCUAUAUAACCCCCAUCCCUACACAUGCAUGGCCCCCACCAUGGUCAGCAACCCCCAUCACAGUGGAACAUUUGUCACAAUUGAUAGACCUAAAAUGACACAUUAUUACCAGUGAGAGUCCAUAGAUUACCUUAGAGUUUUUCUGAGAGGGUUUACUUGCCCUUCGUUUUUGAAGGAUUAUUUUGCAAGGUACAGAUGACUGGGUUGGUGGUUUUUCUUCUCUUAACACUUUAAAUAUUGCACUCCACUCUCUUCUGGCUUGCUCCUUUCUGAGAAGUCAGAUGUAAUUCUCACCUUUGUUCCUCUCUCAGUGUUGAUUCGUUGUGGUGUCUUGCAGGAUUUUUUUCCUUUAUCUUUGAUCUUCUGUAGUUUGAAAAUGAUAUGCCUAGAUGUACAUUUGGGGGGCAUUUAUCCUGCUUAACAUUCUCUGACCUUUCUGGAUCUGUAGUUUGGUAUCUGAUAUUAAUUUGGGGGAAAUUCUCAGUCACUAUUGUUUCCAAUAUUUCUCCUGUUAACUUCUCUCUUUCUUCUCCUCCCUGUUUUCCCAUUAUGUGUAUGUUAGAACUUUGGUAGUUGUCCUAUAGUUUAUGGACAUUAUGUUCUGUUUUUCUUUAUUACAGUUUUUUUUUCUAUUUGCUUUUCAGUUUUGGAAGUUUCUAUUAAGAUAUGCUCUAUACCUGAAACGAACACAACAUUGUCAAUUAACUAUACUCCAAUAAAAAUUUUUUAAAAAACGAUAUGCUCAAGUGCAGACAUUCUUUCCUCACCUGUGUCCAAUCUACUGCUAAACCCAACAAGGGAAUUCAUUUCUGUUACAGUGUUUUUGAUCUCUAGCGUGUUUCUUUCUCUCUCUUUCAUAGGAUUGCCAUCUCUGUUUAUAUUGCCCAUCUGUCUUGCAUGCUGUCUAUCCUUUAGAGCUCUUAAAAUUUUAAUAAUAAUUGUUUUAACUUUCUGGUCUGAUAAUUCCAAUAUCCCUGCCAUGUCGUCUCCUAAUGCUUGCUUAGUCUCUUCAGAGCGUGUUUUUGACCGUAGUAUGUCUUGCAAAUUUUUUUGGUAGCCAGAUAUGAUAUGCUGGGCACAAGGAACUACUGUAAAUGGGCCAUUAGUAACGU
Molecule: long non-coding RNA, 7950 nt
Organism: Orcinus orca (killer whale)
Lineage: Eukaryota; Metazoa; Chordata; Mammalia; Artiodactyla; Delphinidae
Exons: 3
Source: RefSeq, a predicted model, not a curated record